GAUGAAGAACGCAGCGAAAUGCGAUACGUAAUGUGAAUUGCAAAUUCAGUGAAUCAUCGAGUCUUUGAACGCACAUUGCGCCCCCUGGUAUUCCGGGGGGCAUGCCUGUCCGAGCGUCAUUGCUGCCCUCAAGCACGACUUGUGUGUUGGGCCCCGUCCUCCGAUCCCGGGGGACGGGCCCGAAAGGCAGCGGCGGCACCGCGUCCGGUCCUCGAGCGUAUGGGGCUUUGUCACCCGCUCUGUAGGCCCGGCCGGCGCUUGCCGAUCAACCCAAAUUUUUAUCCAGGUUGACCUCGGAUCAGGUAGGGAUACCCGCUGAACUUAAGCAUAUCAAUAAGCGGAGGA
This 345-nucleotide unclassified non-coding RNA is filed under the name soil metagenome. RNAcentral describes it as "partial contains 5.8S ribosomal RNA, internal transcribed spacer 2, and large subunit ribosomal RNA". The stretch from base 1 to 119 matches the Rfam family "5.8S ribosomal RNA", at positions 35 to 154 of the family's 154-position model. The record is from RNAcentral.